RNAcentral lists this ribosomal RNA (509 nucleotides) under uncultured bacterium. Its description in RNAcentral is "bacterial SSU rRNA". It matches the Rfam family "Bacterial small subunit ribosomal RNA", at positions 8 to 518 of the family's 1533-position model. The record is from RNAcentral.
AGAGUUUGAUUAUGGCUCAGGAUGAACGCUGGCGGCGUGCCUAACACAUGCAAGUCGAGCGGGGAUAUUGGAAGAUAUUCGUAUCGGAAGAUAUUCUAGCGGCGGACGGGUGAGUAACACGUGAGCAACCUACCUUUUUGCAGGGGAAUAACAGUGGGAAACCACUGCUAAUACCGCAUAACAUCACGAGGGGACAUCCUCUUGUGAUCAAAGGAGAAAUCCGGCAGAAGAUGGGCUCGCGUCCGAUUAGUUAGUUGGCGGGUAACGGCCCACCAAGACCGCGAUCGGUAGCCGAACUGAGAGGUUGAUCGGCCACAUUGGGACUGAGACACGGCCCAGACUCCUACGGGAGGCAGCAGUGGGGAAUAUUGGGCAAAUGGGGGAAACCCUGACCCAGCAACGCCGCGUGAAGGACGAAGGCCUUCGGGUUGUAAACUUCUUUGAUCAGGGACGAAACAAAUGACGGUACCUGAAGAACAAGCCACGGCUAACUACGUGCCAGCCGCCGC